UGGUCAAGUUAUUAAGGGUGCAGGGCGGAUGCCUUGGCACUAGGAGCCGAUGAAGGACGUGAUAAGCUGCGAUAAGCUUCGGGGAGUUGCACGUAAACUUUGAUCCGAAGAUUUCCGAAUGAGGAAACUCACUUAGAGUAAUGUCUAAGUAUCAUUAAGUGAAUACAUAGCUUAAUGAGGGGAACUCAGGGAACUGAAACAUCUAAGUACCUGAAGGAAGAGAAAGAAAUUCGAUUCCGUAAGUAGCGGCGAGCGAACGCGGAUUAGCCCAAACCAAUAAAGUUUUCUUUAUUGGGGUUGCGGACAUAUCAUAACGAAGAGGUAUCGUAAUUGAAGAGGUUUGGAAAGACCCACCACAGAAGGUAAUAGUCCUGUAUGUUAAACGAGAAGAC
Molecule: ribosomal RNA, 392 nt
Filed under: Clostridioides difficile
Lineage: Bacteria; Bacillati; Bacillota; Clostridia; Peptostreptococcales; Peptostreptococcaceae
Description: partial 23S ribosomal RNA
Rfam family: Bacterial large subunit ribosomal RNA
Source: RNAcentral